This 1458-nucleotide long non-coding RNA is filed under the name Felis catus (domestic cat). RNAcentral's name for it is "lncRNA (ENSFCAG00000042936.2)". The record is from RNAcentral. Lineage: Eukaryota; Metazoa; Chordata; Mammalia; Carnivora; Felidae.
GAACAUGUUUACACAAGAGGGUAGGAGGGAGAAAGUCAAGGAAAGACAUUUCUGGCAGAAAAAAAAACAACACAGAAAACACAGAUAUGACAAAUGUGGCCUUCCUUCCCAGUUCUGUAUGUGAGGAAUUCUCAAAACCACAGUCUACUCAAGGAUGGACCACGAUGUAUUUAUUAAAUGAAAAAGAGAGAGAGAGAGAAGUGAAUCUGGUAUGGUACAUUUUUACUUUAUAAAUAUAAUUUUACAAGUGUGUGUGGGGGGGAUGUGUAUCUGUAUAUACUAUCAACUUCUCUAAGCCAAUUUAGUUAUGCACCACUUUUAGGGUCAUAUUGGUAAAUAAUAUUAACCUUAAAAGUUUUAGGUAGGUUUAGUUAGCGAGUCUCAGACUCAAUCCCACUGCAUGUAUGGACAUUCAUAGCCAGCAAGCACACACAGUUCAUUUCACAUCACCAGUUCUGGAAGCUCAAUUAAGUCGAGCUCGAUCCUUCAGUUGUUUUACUUAACAUCCUGCAUGACAGGUUCCCUUGAGCCCGAUGUGACAAUAUGGCAGGAGCAGGAUUCUGCUCCCUUUAUGCUCCCAUCAGAAAUCCUCCCAGACUGGCCCAGGACCCUUUAGGAUCAAGUCUUAGACACCAUCUGUAAAGGAGCAGGCUAUACAGACUUUGCUAGACUUUUAAACCUUAUCCAUGCAUGGAAGUGGAGUGGCUCUUAAAAGAGUUGAGGUAAGUCAUUGAAUACCACCAAUUUCACCAAUGGAAACCCAUUUUAAACAUCUAUCAUGCAAACAAGCUACAAAUUUCACCUGUGAAAACCCAUUUCUAAUAUCCACUAUACUAAUCAGCAAAAUGUCUUUGCAUUGUCAAAGAUGAGGAUUACUGAUGCAGUUUAUAGGAGCCACAUCUGAAUUAAAGCAACAGACUUUUCUUGGCUUGUGACUUAAACCAACUAAUACACGUUAAUGUCACAUUGUCUGGUUUUAAGCAUUUUAAAACAAAUUAGCUACACAAAGCAGAACAACAGGAAGGAGGUAGAGUAUUCUACACAAGAGCAAUUCAUAUUGGUUUGGUAGAAAUGGCAUGAGGACUGGAGAGAGAAUAUUAACUUAUUUUAUAUAGACCUUUAUAUCAUUUCAUUUGGCCCAACAUACUCAUAUCAUUUUUGUGCUUAACAAUCUUAACAUUGUUUUUGAAAGAGGGGGUAACUUUUAAAAAGUAAAAGCAAGGAGGGGUGCCUGGGUAGUUCAGUCGGUUAAGUGUCCGACUUCGGCUCAGGUCAUGAUCUCAUAGCUUGUGGGUUCGAGCCCUGUGUCAGGCACUGUGCUGACAGCUCAGAGCCUGGAGCCUGCUUUGGAUUCUGGGUCUCCCUCUCUCUCUGCCCCUCCCCCACUCAUGCUCUGUCUCUCUCUCUCUCUCUCUGUCUCAAAAAUAAACUUAAAAAAUAUUUUUUAAAGUAAAAGCA